RNAcentral lists this ribosomal RNA (491 nucleotides) under uncultured bacterium. RNAcentral's name for it is "partial 16S ribosomal RNA". It matches the Rfam family "Bacterial small subunit ribosomal RNA", at positions 29 to 507 of the family's 1533-position model. The record is from RNAcentral.
GUGAACGCUGGCGGUAGGCCUAACCCAUGCAAGUCGAACGGCAGCACAGUAAGAGCUUGCUCUUACGGGUGGCGAGUGGCGGACGGGUGAGGAAUACAUCGGAAUCUACUUUUUCGUGGGGGAUAACGUAGGGAAACUUACGCUAAUACCGCAUACGACCUACGGGUGAAAGCAGGGGAUCUUCGGACCUUGCGCGAUUGAAUGAGCCGAUGUCGGAUUAGCUAGUUGGCGGGGUAAAGGCCCACCAAGGCGACGAUCCGUAGCUGGUCUGAGAGGAUGAUCGGCCACACUGGAACUGAGACACGGUCCAGACUCCUACGGGAGGCAGCAGUGGGGAAUAUUGGACAAUGGGCGCAAGCCUGAUCCAGCCAUACCGCGUGGGUGAAGAAGGCCUUCGGGUUGUAAAGCCCUUUUGUUGGGAAAGAAAAGCAGCAGGUUAAUACCCCGCUGUUCUGACGGUACCCAAAGAAUAAGCACCGGCUAACUUCGUG